UAGACGGAGUCAAAAUUCUGUGACUUCCAGGCAGGUCACGAGAAGACAAUGACGGGUUUACUUCCGGUGCUCGCAGGGGCAAAUAUUAUCUAUGGCG
This 97-nucleotide non-coding RNA is filed under the name human gut metagenome. RNAcentral describes it as "Pyrrolysine insertion sequence mttB". It matches the Rfam family "Pyrrolysine insertion sequence mttB". The record is from RNAcentral.